GAUAGAUGGGGAGUUAGCAGUGCCCUGUAACCUGCAAUCUGCUACAGCAGGAUCGAACAGUUGCCUCGGUGUGAAUUGGGUGAAAAUGUGUAAAGAUGGCUGAUGUUGAAGUCAAGGUCUUAUGCAAUUUGCUCCUUCGAACCGUGUCAGGUCCUGACGGAAGCAUCACUAAGAAGAUAAGUAGAUGUGCCAUGAGGAAACUUUGGUGGAGUUAGAUGU
This 219-nucleotide signal recognition particle RNA is filed under the name bovine gut metagenome. RNAcentral describes it as "Bacterial large signal recognition particle RNA". It matches the Rfam family "Bacterial large signal recognition particle RNA", at positions 7 to 220 of the family's 256-position model. Rfam says of the family: The signal recognition particle (SRP) is a universally conserved ribonucleoprotein involved in the co-translational targeting of proteins to membranes. Archaeal SRP consists of a 7S RNA and homologues of the eukaryotic SRP19 and SRP54 proteins. The record is from RNAcentral.